RNA transcript from Malurus melanocephalus (red-backed fairy wren), 2893 nucleotides. It is a transcript of the gene named proline rich and Gla domain 3, with no coding region annotated. The record is from RefSeq and is a predicted model, not a curated record. Lineage: Eukaryota; Metazoa; Chordata; Aves; Passeriformes; Maluridae. The transcript has 4 exons.
CGGGGCUCCGGCCAACUCCCGGGGCUGCCCCGGGGCCGCGCCCGCGCUCCGCGGGACCACGGCACGGCUCAAGACUGCAACUCCCAGCGGCCCCCGCGGCACCGCCCGGCAGCCGCCGCCCGCUCUCAUUGGCUGUCACUCCGUCUCGAGCUGGGGGCGUAGCGCGUGACCCCGCCCACUGCCCCUCCCGGCGUUCUUAUUGCAGGAGGAAGGGGCGCGCGCGCACUGCGGAGGGGCGCGAUUGGUCGAGGGACGGGAGUGGGCGUGUCGGGGGCGGGGCCUGCCCUCCCCUGCCCGUCGGCGGGAGGGAGCGGCUGCGGCGGGCGCGGGGCCGCCAUGAGGUAGGCAGGAGCCCCCCUUGGCCGAGUGAGGCAGCAUGGCAAGUGGGAGUCGAGAGGARGUGCUGAAGGUCUGACCUCUCUGGGGCUUCCCGGAGGCCACAGGAUUUGUGUCUCUGUGUGGUGCUUGCUGUGCAGCACAGGCCUCCCCAGGGCUCUCUGGGCUGCCUGUCUGCACUGACAUCUCUCCUCAGCAGUGCUCCUCAUGGCCCACGACUGGCACCAUGCCAGAGCCCACCCUGGUGGCCACGCUGCCCUGCGUGGCUGGUGGCACUGGGGCUCUGUGUUCUGUGGACUGGCAGCUGCCAAUCUCAGCCCCAGCAGGAGCUCGCUGUGGCACACCCAGAGCAGKGCUGGGCCAGCACCAAAGAUGGGCUGAGACUGGCGAGGGUGCAGAGGGCUGUGGGGUCUGCCCAGAGCUGGGCUCAAGCCUUGCUCCUCGCUCUCCUGGGCAGCCUGCAUGGAGGCUGCGUGCCCCGGUGUGAUGGGAGCAUGAGGACGAUGGCAGGACUGAAUGGGGACAUGCAGAGAUCUGUCUGGGAUCUCGGGAUUUGCUCGGAAUGUCACCGGAGCCAGCUGAAGGUGGAGGCAGUAGCCACGCUGGGGAGGAGGAGSACCCCAGGGAUGACAGUGGCCAGCUCAGCAUGGCAAAACAGGGAAAGGGUCGAGUGACUGAUAUCUGCAGCGAUGGAAAACCCUGACAGUGAGAUCUGCAUCCAAGCUUGUUGCUCCAAGAUGGGCUGAGGAAGUUGAAAUCUGAGUCUCGGGCUCGAGUGCUCAGGAGGGGAGAAUUGAUACCACGGCCUGAUCAAGGUGGGAGGCAAAGGAGGUGAGGCCAGACUUCUCCAGCAAUGUAUGGGACAUUUGCUGAAUGAAUGGUGUCUUUGUAAAAUUUCAUCUCCUUCUGGAAAGGCUCAAGAGAAGGUCAGCCUGCCAGCCUGUUCCCUCUCCAGCCAAGAUAGCCCUCCUCAACUGUGAAAGCCAAGGCAAGCUGAUCUGCAAGAUGCCUUCUGUGCCUCUUGAAAAUGCUUUUUUGGUUGUCCUUGUAAAAAAAAAAAGAAAAAAAAAAAAAAGAUUUGCAUAAUAAAGUUGAUUCUGAGGGAAGAUCUGUGACUCACAUCAUUCACGCUGCUCUUCAUUCACACUUCAGUGGUUCAGCCCUCUGUAAACUCUCUCACAGAAACAAGGCAUUAAUAAAUCACGAGGGGAAAAUGCACCUACACAGCACUAAAGGAGCUCAGUGCCUCCAAGCCCAGGAUGGUGUAGCACAGUAGUAGUUGUUUCUUACACCAUGAUCUUGUCCCUGUCGAUAUUUCCAAACACCUUGUUGUAUUGUUUUCACAGCAGGAUACAUGGAAGGUAAAGCCAAAGGAAACUUGCCUUUCUCCCUGGCAAAAAGSUCUUAAGGAAACAAGCUGGUGGCUUUUCACUGACUGUUUUGCUUGAUCUUCACCAAGCUCCUUGUGGAGCCGGUGUUUUGUUAGUGCCAGGCUGGUCAGAAUGGAGAUUCUGUCCCACUGCCUCCUUUGAUGCUGCUGCUGUGUGAGUGGGUUCAUCUUGUUUAUCCAAUGGAAGACUCAGCCUGAGGGUGAAGGAGGUAAAUGGGUUUCUGUGGAUCACCCAGCUGAACUGAUUCRUCUCCCCAAGGGAAGCAGCAGGGUUUUGUGGCUUGGUGGGAAGAGCUGGAACCAGCCUACAAGCUGAGUGUGUUGAACUGGAUUGUGAAAACACUCAUUCAUGAAAUGCGUGUUUGGAUCCUGGAAGGAUCGUGUUUUGUGUGAAGUUUCUGCUCUCUGACCAACAGCUCCUGUGCCUCCUGUGCUGCUACAGGUCCUGGCAGGUGUUKGCCCCCUGCACCCCAUGGAGGUGACCCUCCUGCAGGAUAUGGGGGAGAGCCUUUGAUGGCUCUUGCAGGCAGGAGGGUGCUGUUGCUGCUCCCUCUGCCUUCAGGACUGCAUGCUCUGUGGAGUCUUGAGGAGUCUCCCAGGCUUUGGGAGCAGAGGAAAGUUUGUGAGGCCUCUGCAUCAAAACACAGUGGGGAUGAGAAUGUGAUGCCAUGUGAGGAGAGGUUGCUCAGGGCGCUGGCUUGUGACCCCCUGCGCUGUCCCUGUGUUUUGGGGAUGUUUAUCCUUGUCCCGGGCCUGGGAGAAGACACUGUGGUUUCUGUAGGGCCUGGACAGAGUCCUUGAGCUUGCAUGAGCCCUCGGCAGCUGGCAGCAGGGACAGCAGCUUGCAGCAGGYUGUCGUGUGUUGAGCUGUGUGCUGUGAGUCCCUCUCAGUGCUGGCCCUGUGUCCUGGCAGAGCUCUGUGUCCCAGCCCUCUGGGGUCUUGCUCUCCUGGUGGGAUCUCCCUUGCCCUGCAGCAAAGGGGCARAAAGGUGAAAUCCAUCGAGGACAGGAGGUUGAAAACAAUUAUAUUUUGAGCCUCCUGUCUCUUCCUCAGUUGCUCCGUGUAGCUGCAGCUGCUGCUUCUGAUGUCUCUAGUACCACAGAAGGGCUCCUGGUGCCAUACAUCUCUGGGCAGACCCCAAGAGUCCUGUGCCUCUCUGGGUGUCC